AGCCAACCAGAAUUUGCGAUUCCCUUGCCACCAAGUGCCGGUGGAACGGAGACAGGGUUGCCGAAGGUUCUUGGGAGGGGUCCCCAGAAGUUGAGAAGCUCUGGACUGGAGUGCCUCUGAGAGAAAUUGUCACCAAAGAAAAUAGUUUGGUUGGCUGGUUUUCUGAGGCUUGGUGACAGCACUGGGCAGGCUGAGUAGAGCUGAGCUCUGACAGGGACUGAUGAGGCCUGGAACAGCGGGGAUGUGCAUAGACUAACAAUAUCUUUUCUUUUUUCUGGCAUUUAAAAA
Molecule: non-coding RNA, 288 nt
Organism: Manis javanica (Malayan pangolin)
Lineage: Eukaryota; Metazoa; Chordata; Mammalia; Pholidota; Manidae
Source: RefSeq, a predicted model, not a curated record